GGGCGACUAGCUCAGUUGGCUAGAGCAUCUCGUUUACACCGAGAGGGUCAGGGGUUCGAGUCCCUUGUCGCCCACCA
RNAcentral lists this transfer RNA (77 nucleotides) under TM7 phylum sp. oral taxon 352. Its description in RNAcentral is "tRNA-Val". It matches the Rfam family "tRNA". Rfam says of the family: Transfer RNA (tRNA) molecules are approximately 80 nucleotides in length. Their secondary structure includes four short double-helical elements and three loops (D, anti-codon, and T loops). Lineage: Bacteria; Candidatus Saccharimonadota. RNAcentral also lists the same sequence under 6 other names. The record is from RNAcentral.